This is a long non-coding RNA of Xiphophorus maculatus (southern platyfish), 2473 nucleotides long. RefSeq lists it as uncharacterized. The record is from RefSeq and is a predicted model, not a curated record. NCBI's taxonomy places the organism in Eukaryota, Metazoa, Chordata, Actinopteri, Cyprinodontiformes, Poeciliidae. The transcript has 3 exons.
CCGGAAGAACGUUAGUUAACUUGUUAGCAUUAGCAGCGUGAGCUCUACGCUGGGAAACAGUGGGACGGCUUCGGUUCGGUUCUGUUUGCUUGGUAGUUGUUAGUGGAGGUCUUGGACGGAUUGGAUUCAUCAGAGAUGUGGACCCAGCGGGUCAAACGACGUUCGGAGAGGCACGAUAGUCUGGAUCCGUCUUUCGAACCUCGGCUGCACCGAUCGGAAAGUCAGGUUGGGACGAAAUAUCUGUUGCUGUCAGGAAAAACUGAUGAGAGAGACUGCAGCCUGUGGAACAUCAUUGUUUCAGACCGGGACUCUGACAGAAAUGCUUACUUGGACGUUUCCUUUGCAUGUUAGUCUGGAUUUAAGGAGUUUGAUAAGAUCGGAGUAGAUAUCCCUAAGUCAAGUCUAAGUCUUUUCUUACUUUUCAGACAUCAUUAUUGUAUAAAUUGUAUAAUAUUUGGCCUAAUGCCAUCUCUGUGCUGCCCUCCUCAGAUUGAACAGUGGCUACUACAGUUAAGUUUUUCUAUUGGUUCCAGCGGUGCAGCUUUAGUCACACAGCCACGUUCCAGAGUAUAAACCAUCUCAUGAGACGCCCCCUGGUGGUGAGUCAGGAGGUGGAAUACUGAACUUGAUGAGCUUUGAUUAAUAGUGUUUCUCAGCUCUGCUCAUAUGUGAUUCUUUAGUGCCAUGAACACAGAGUGGGACGGCUCUGCUCUGCUCUGCUCUGCUCUGCUCUGCUCUGACUGUAGGUGGUUUGCCGCAGAGCUGCUGCUGCCACUUCACAUGUUAUUACCAGAGUCUUCAAUAUUGAGGUCUAGAAUAACUUUUUGCUCUAGUUGCUCUGUGACUAACUUUUCCUAAAUGCACCCAAAUCUUUGACCAUAUUGCAUUAUUACUGCACAUGUUGACUUUUUUUGUGUUUAAAUUAAUGCCAAAUCAAGGUUAUAUUGACUUGUAAGUGAUUAAUUGAAGGGGCGGUAUUAUGUAUUUUCCAUUAUUAUUUUAUUUUGUCAGGGUUUAUGGAUAGAUUUAACUAUACGUGUGCUGAUCGAUCGGCCACCGAUCGUAAUCAGCUGAUUUCUGUGAAAGUGUAAUCGGUGAUCGCUGAUCACUGACUCUUGUUGCUGAUCACACAAACUGAUCACCUGUGUCUCACUCCGCAGCCUGCCUGUGCAGCUCAUCUUUCCUUCCCACUGCGCAGCAACUAGUCCUAACUAGUGGAACUUCAACACUCAGAGUAAAUGGGGAAGUUUUGUGUUACAUCAGAAAAAUACCUGAAGCAUGUCAUAAUGCAUCAACACAACUAGUCCAAAAUGACAUUUAAAAAGCAAACACUUGAUGGAGUUUGGCUACAUCGAGGCUCAACGCAGGGAAAAGACAUCCGGAAGGUCAGACAGCAGAUAAAGCAGCACACAACUACCAGCACUCACCCGGAAGAGCAUCAUGGUCAGAAAGCUAAACAAAUAACCCAAAAAGUAAUUAAAGUCAACCAGCUAGCAGUGUAAGAUGCUGGUUCUGAUCUCGCUGUUGGGCCGCCGUUAUUCGCUACUGCUAGUAAUAUUUCACAGACGGAGCUCAGUUUCUGCUCCACCCGGCAGUGAACGCUCACAUUUAAUGUCUGCUUAAACCUGCAGCAUGUAACUAAAACAAAAGAUUUUACAUAAAACUUUUGCUAUGUCCUAACAUGAGACAGAUGAGCUCUGAAAAGAACAAAUCGAUCAACCCUGCCUCCUCCUACCAUUGAAUACCCUGCAGAAUUACUCAGCUCAGUCAGAAACAACCAAUCAGAGUCAGCAUUACUCAGCUAGCUAAUCAGAGCUAGCAUUACUCAGCUAGCCAAUCAGAGCUAGCAUUACUCAGCUAGCCAAUCAGAGCUAGCAUUAAUCAGCUAGCCAAUCAGAGCUAGCAUUACUCAGCUAGCUGCUCUGAGGACGUUUUAAUUCAGUAACUCAGGAUUGUUUAUUUUAAUCAACCUGCAUUAACUUUAAUGAAUGUUUCCUUUUUCUGUUGACAUUAUUUGAUAUCUGUGUUGUGAGAUUUAUUUGACUCAUGUAUAAUUUAUGGCUGAGAGCCUUAAAUUAUUAUUAAUUAUUAUUUUACUGAUUGCAGGUUUGUCAGUCCUUUUUACUGAAUAGCUGCUGUUUUGUGCCUGCAAAUAUUUUGCAAGUUUUAUGUCUUUAUACCAGAUAAUUUUUCUAUUUUUCCAUAUCACAUAGUAGCAUUUAUACCUGAAGUGAAAAAUUAGCAGCCAAUCCAGUUGCAACCCCGCAGGACUGCACACAGAGUAAAAAACUUCUGGGGUUUUAAUGGCCCUGUGUGUUAAGACUGCAGGAGAGUUAGACAGUGAAACUAGGAGCAGAAAAUAAAAUCUGCAGUGUAUGAUAGAGCAGGGUUUCCCCCAGUAUAUUAUGCCUGGCAGCCCGCCAUGCUUUACUGGCCCCACCGCCAGGCUAAGCCUUUCUUGUUUAUGUUUUUA